Molecule: ribosomal RNA, 344 nt
Filed under: Ixodes scapularis (black-legged tick)
Lineage: Eukaryota; Metazoa; Arthropoda; Arachnida; Ixodida; Ixodidae
Description: partial 12S ribosomal RNA
Source: RNAcentral
AUUAUUUUAAGCUAUAUAUUAGGAGUAAAUAAAAUUUAUGAAAUUAAAAAAUUUUGGCGGUAUUUUAAGCUUAUUAGAGGAAUUUGCUCUGUGAUGGACACAACGCCUUAAUCUUACUUAAUUUAGUAAUUUAAAUCAGUUUGUAUACCACUAUAUUAAUUAUAUUGAAUAGUUAUAUUUAAUAUUUUUUAAAAAAAAUAUAUUAAGUCAAGGUGCAUCUAAUAAUUAUGAAUGAAGUGAAUUACAUUAAUUUUAAUGUAAUUUUUUACAUGAAAAAAUUAAUUAGGAUUUAAUAGUAAAAUACUAAUAUUAUGAGUAUUUGAAUCAAGCUCUAAAAUAUGCAC